This 301-nucleotide ribosomal RNA is filed under the name uncultured bacterium. RNAcentral describes it as "partial 16S ribosomal RNA". It matches the Rfam family "Bacterial small subunit ribosomal RNA", at positions 509 to 807 of the family's 1533-position model. The record is from RNAcentral.
CAGUCGCCACGGUAAUACGUAGGGUGCAAGCGUUAAUCGGAAUUACUGGGCGUAAAGCGUGCGCAGGCGGUUUUGUAAGUCUGUCGUGAAAUCCCCGGGCUCAACCUGGGAAUGGCGAUGGAGACUGCAAGGCUGGAAUCUGGCAGAGGGGGGUAGAAUUCCACGUGUAGCAGUGAAAUGCGUAGAUAUUCGCAAGAACACCGGUGGCGAAGGCGGCUCACUGGUCCGGAACUGACGCUGAGGCACGACAGCGUGGGGAGCAAACAGGAUUAGAUACCCCAGUAGUCCCUGUCUCUUAUAC